UGCCCCCAACCACCGCGCUGCGAUGUUGCUUGCUCGCCUGGUCGCCGCCUUGUCUCCCCCGACCUCGAUACCGUCUGGGGCGGCGCCGGCACCACCACACAGCGGUGGUGCGCCAGUGGAUGGGCGCGGGAGGCGGCAUGGUCAAGGAUCCUGAGGCGGCGAGGUUCCCUGCAUCGACGCCAGUCGCAGGGAGUCGUCGCCAGGUGCUCUGACCGUGCCGCUGGAGAUAAUGCUGCGAGCUCAACCAGUUCACGGCCACAGACACUACCUGGAAGGAGACGUCGGGAUUGUUAUUGACUGGGAGGAGCAGGACGCAGCAGGAGAGGCAGUAAGCACCUUGACAAUGACAGCCGUGACCCUGCUUAUUUGGUUGUCCUUCGUAUGUCGCCUAGGUUGGUCUGUGGGAAUUGACAUGCAUUGUUGUCCCAUUUUACUGAUUUAUUUGAUAAAUAUGUGACCACAUGAGUAACCUAUUGUUUGUUUCAGUACCAUUUUACUGAUUUAUUUGAUAAGUAUGUGACCAUAUGAGUAACCUAUUGUUUGUUUUAGCACUACCAGACACCGCAUUCCUAUUUAACAGGGAAUUGCUUAUCUAUGAUUCAGGCUAGAAUAAUUGUUUUCUACUAACAAUUGAAGUUCUACUGUAUGCUUUAGAUUUGUCAAUGAAAAUGGCCAUUCCCGUUCUGAUGUUCAUUAUGUUUAUUGAAGUCCUCACCAUCUUUAUAUUCAUUACAUAUUCUCAAUAGCUUAUUUCUUAAUACCUAAAAUGAAUACCAGGAGCUCAUUCUUACCUCUCCAAUUUAUCCUUAUUUGAGUAUUAAGGGCACCUACAUUUCUUUGGUUCUGUAUGACUGAUCAAAUUAACACACACCUCAAUCAUAGUAAAAUCUGAAAGGAGAUGUAAAAGAAUCAAAGAAAAGUAGAGAUGCACAAUAUUUUUUGCUUUUGAGGGAUUGUUCUUGGGUUCAGCUUUUGCUGGCAUGUUGUUAUUAUAGAGUUACCCUAUCUCUUUGAAUCGUCAUAUGUACUCCAGACUCUUAUAGAUUAUGCAACUAGCUAAUGGUUGGAACUUUAAUACUUAGCUUUAUUUACAGGUAGCACAACCUCAUGUUAGUUGCCAUUUUAUUGCUACAGAUAUGGUGUUGUUCUGAUUGUAUAUGUGAUGAUUUUAUCCAUGUGUAUGUAUGUGGUCUUCAAAGUUGUUGAAAGAUUGAAAGCGUAAGCAAGUUCGUCAAAUUCCUUCGGUAAGUCAUAUAUUCUUCUGUCUCUUUCCUAUGUUUUAGAGGUAUAUAGUAAGAAGAUAUGAGGUAGAAUAUUUCCUUUUCAGUAUAUCUGAAAUUAUAUGGGAGAGAUUACUAGCUCACACAUAGAGUUCGGUUAUUAGGUUUCUAAAUAAGUUCAGCCCUAGAGCACAUAUUUUUGCAUCCAUUGCUUAUUUAAUCCAUUGGUAUAUAUUUUCUCCGGUUCAUAUAGUAUGUUUACAUUUGACUUGGAAUUGUCUGUACUUUUGUUCUGCUUUUGUUUCAAGGUACUUCCAAAGAAAUCAAUAUCCAUCUGUCCAUGGAAAACUCGAAGAAGGCUCGAUUGGCACAUGAAGCUCUUAAAUACUUGAGAGCCUUUUACAACAAGGUCCUACAGGACUACACCUAUGAUAGGUUGCAGUUGGUUGAACAAGGUCUUAUAAGACUACAUACAUAUAUUACACCGGUUGUCCCAGCUCAUAGUUGGUUGUCAUCAGUCCGGUUGGUUGAACAAGGUCCUAUAAGACUACAUACAUAUAUUGCUACAGAUA
Long non-coding RNA from Triticum aestivum (bread wheat), 1792 nucleotides. RefSeq lists it as uncharacterized. NCBI's taxonomy places the organism in Eukaryota, Viridiplantae, Streptophyta, Magnoliopsida, Poales, Poaceae. The transcript is spliced from 2 exons. The record is from RefSeq and is a predicted model, not a curated record.